UGAAUUUUCAACAUUCUCCCUCACAUCCACAUGUCUAUCUCCAAUUCAAGAAGGCUCCUCCUUCCCUCCGCCACGGCCGCCGCCAGUCCGCCGGAGCUAGCGCAGCCGCGUCCUGGGUUCGGGAGUUUCGACAUGAACGUAGUAAUGGUUCUUUCAGUUCUCCUCUGCGCUCUAAUUUGCUCUCUGGGUCUCAACGCCAUCUUAAAAUGCGCGUUGCGGUGCUCCACUUUGCUAGCCACCGUGUCAGGGGGGCGUCGUGGUGGGGCCUUGGUGGUACACCCGAAAGGUGUUCGACGAAAUGUCUUAAAGAAAUUCCCAACAGUGGAAUACUCAAAAGAGGGGAAUAAAUUGAGGGGAAUUGAUGGGGAGUGCGUGAUUUGUUUGUUGGAGUUCGAAGCAGGGGAUCGGGUUCGUGUAUUGCCUAAAUGCUUUCAUGGAUUCCAUGUUCAUUGCAUCGAUAAGUGGCUGAGUUCCCACACUUCUUGUCCCAAGUGUCGUAAUUGCCUCACUGACACUUGCCAUAAGAUCACCGCCGGCUGCGGCCAGGAGGCGGAGAGUUCUUCCUCUGUUGAACCACCGGCGGCGGAGGAGGUGGGUGUCAAUGUUGUUAUUGCUCCGGUGGAAAGGGAAGGUUUGAUAAGCAACUAUAGGGAAAGUAUUAGUAGAUGAGAUUGAAGUGGGAAGUGGGAAGUGGGAA
RNAcentral lists this unclassified non-coding RNA (697 nucleotides) under Hevea brasiliensis (rubber tree). Lineage: Eukaryota; Viridiplantae; Streptophyta; Magnoliopsida; Malpighiales; Euphorbiaceae. The record is from RNAcentral.